AUACGAAGGGGGCAAGCGUUGUUCGGAAUAACUGGGCGUAAAGCGCACGUAGGCGGAUUGUUUAGUUAGAGGUGAAAUCCCAGGGCUCAACCCUGGAACUGCCUUUAAUACUGGCAGUCUAGAGACCGAGAGAGGUGAGUGGAAUUCCGAGUGUAGAGGUGAAAUUCGUAGAUAUUCGGAGGAACACCAGUGGCGAAGGCGGCUCACUGGCUCGGUACUGACGCUGAGGUGCGAAAGCGUGGGGAGCAAACGGGAUUAGAAACCCUAGUAGUCC
This 274-nucleotide ribosomal RNA is filed under the name uncultured bacterium. RNAcentral's name for it is "partial 16S ribosomal RNA". It matches the Rfam family "Bacterial small subunit ribosomal RNA", at positions 523 to 796 of the family's 1533-position model. The record is from RNAcentral.